UUGAGGGCACUCACCAGCCCCGAGGUGAGGAGGUGCGUGGCCACCACCAGCCCCAGGCACCAGAAGCGGCGCCUUUCGCAGGCGUCGAAGAAAAUCACCCCCCAGAAGGUGUGGAGGAGGACGAGGGCCAUGGUGAGGAAGGCUGCGGGGGGGGGGGGGAGGGGAGAGAGAGAGAGACCCCCCCCCACCUCAGACCUCGCCACCACCUCCCUCCUCCUCCUCCUCCUCCUGAGGGGCCACGCACGAGCCCGUGUCCCACAUCCCACCUCCUGCAUCCCAUGUCCUGCAUCCCACAUCCCAUGUCCCAUGUCCCAUGUCCUGCAUCCCAUGUACCACAUCCCAUGUCCCAUAUCCUGUGUCCUGCAUCCCGUGUACCACAUCCCAUGUCCUGCAUCCCAUGUCCCAUGUGCCACAUCCUGCAUCCCAUGUACCUCAUCCCAUGUCCCAUGUACCACAUCCCGUGUCCUGCAUCCCAUAUCCCGUGUCCUGCAUCCCAUAUCCCACAUCCCACCUCCUGCAUCCCGUGUCCUGCAUCCCGUGUCCCAUGUACCACAUCUCGUGUCCCAUGUACCACAUCUCCCAUGUCCUGCAUCCCAUGUCCCAUGUCCUGCAUCCUGUGUCUCGUGUCCCACAUCCCGUGUACCACAUCCCAUGUCCCAUGUACCACAUCCUGUGUCCUGCAUCCCAUGUCCCGUGUCCUGCAUCCCACGUCCCACAACCCGUGUCCCACAUCCCGUGUCCCAUGUCCACCCCAUGUUCCACAUCCCAUGUCCCACGUCCUGCAUCCCGUGUCUUAUGUCCCGUGUCCUGCAUCCAUCCCAUGUUCCGCAUCCCACAUCCCAUGUCCCACGUCCUGCAUCCUGUGUCCCACGUCCUGCAUCCCAUGUCUGUGUCUCAAGUCCUGCAUCCCAUGUCCCACAUCCCGUGUCUCGUAUCCCACAUCCCAUGUCCCAUGUCCUGCGUCCCACAUACCAUCCCGUGUCCUGUGUCCCGCAUCCCAUGUCCCAUGUACCACAUCCCAUUUCCACCCCAAAAUCAUUCCAGGGCCCUGGCUCUUACUUGAGCAGCUUGAAGUAGGCGAAUCGGAAGGUCUCCUGCAGCAGGACGGAGACGGAGGCCCCGAAGAGGAGGAGCCCGCGCUGCAGACGAGCGUCCUCCCGGUCACUGAGCUGCACCGACACGAACCACACCAGGGAGGCCAGGAGCAGGGACACCAGCCAGAAGAAGGCCCUGGGGGGGGUCGGGGGGGGACACACGGACAUGGGGGACACAGACACACGGACACACACGGACACACAAGAACAGGGGGUUCAGGCCACGGAGCUGGGAAUCGCCCGGAAAACGCUGGGGGGAUCGG
RNAcentral lists this long non-coding RNA (1357 nucleotides) under Calidris pugnax (ruff). RNAcentral's name for it is "lncRNA (ENSCPUG00000005340.1)". The record is from RNAcentral. Lineage: Eukaryota; Metazoa; Chordata; Aves; Charadriiformes; Scolopacidae.